CCCCAGACUCCUACGGGAGGCAGCAGUGGGGAAUAUUGCACAAUGGGGGAAACCCUGAUGCAGCGACGCCGCGUGAGUGAAGAAGUAUUUCGGUAUGUAAAGCUCUAUCAGCAGGGAAGAAAAUGACGGUACCUGACUAAGAAGCCCCGGCUAACUACGUGCCAGCAGCCGCGGUAAUACGUAGGGGGCAAGCGUUAUCCGGAUUUACUGGGUGUAAAGGGAGCGUAGACGGCAUGGCAAGUCGGAUGUGAAAGCCCGGGGCUCAACCCCGGGACUGCAUUUGAAACUGUCAGGCUGGAGUGCAGGAGAGGUAAGUGGAAUUCCUAGUGUAGCGGUGAAAUGCGUAGAUAUUAGGAGGAACACCAGUGGCGAAGGCGGCUUACUGGACUGUAACUGACGUUGAGGCUCGAAAGCGUGGGGAGCAAACAGGAUUAGAUACCCCUGUA
This 446-nucleotide ribosomal RNA is filed under the name uncultured bacterium. RNAcentral describes it as "bacterial SSU rRNA". It matches the Rfam family "Bacterial small subunit ribosomal RNA", at positions 329 to 792 of the family's 1533-position model. The record is from RNAcentral.